CGGGGUCCUUUUGAAUUUAUUCUAAAGGUGAGAGUGGCGAACGGGUGAGUAACACGUUGGUGACCUGCCCCAGAGAGGGGGAUAACCAUUGGAAACGAUGGCUAAUACCCCAGAUGUCAUUACAGUUAGAGAGUAAUGUCUAAAGCUCCGGCGCUCUGGGAGGGGCCUGCGGCCCAUCAGCUAGUUGGUAGGGUAAUGGCCUACCAAGGCGAAGACGGGUAGGGGACGUGAGAGCGUGACCCCCCACACUGGUACUGAAACACGGACCAGAUACCUACGGGUAGCAGCAGCAAGGAAUAUUGCCCAAUGGACGAAAGUCUGAGGCAGCAACGCCGCGUGGAGGAUGAAGGCCUUCGGGUUGUAAACUCCUUUUCUGGGGGAAGAGAAAGGACGGUACCCCAGGAAUAAGUCUCGGCUAACUACGUGCCAGCAGCCGCGGUAAAACGUAGGAGGCGAGCGUUAUCCGGAUUUACUGGGCGUAAAGCGCGUGUAGGCGGUUUUCUAAGUCGGACGUGAAAGCUCCCGGCUCAACUGGGAGAGGUCGUUCGAAACUAGGAGACUUGAGGAUGGUAGAGGAGAGUGGAAUUCCCGGUGUAGUGGUGAAAUGCGUAGAUAUCGGGAGGAACACCAGUGGCAAAGGCGGCUCUCUGGGCCAUUUCUGACGCUAAGACGCGAAAGCUAGGGGAGAGAACGGGAUUAGAAACCCCGGUAUUCCUAGCCGUAAACGAUGUCAACUAGGUGUAGGGGGUAUCCAACCCCCCUGUGCUGCAGCAAACGCGAUAA
RNAcentral lists this ribosomal RNA (783 nucleotides) under uncultured marine bacterium. RNAcentral's name for it is "bacterial SSU rRNA". It matches the Rfam family "Bacterial small subunit ribosomal RNA", at positions 63 to 863 of the family's 1533-position model. The record is from RNAcentral.